CUCCUUCCAUAUAAAAAUAAAAGGAAAAAAAACAUGUCGCCUUUUCUUCAGCCCCGAGCAGCCGCGCCACCAGAGCUCGCGAACCUUGCCGACACCUCGACUCCUCCGUCUCUGGGACAUCGGGACAUCGCCGGCAUGCGGAACGAAGCCGCCCCAACUGGAUCCACGUCCACCGCCAUCGCCCGCUCUCCCGCCAUUCUUCCUCACCUCAAAUUGGUCGCGCCGGUAGCCGUCGUUGCCAGAUCCUACCUUGGUCGCCCACUGGAAGAUCCAGCACCCUAUGCAUUGCCACAUCGCGCCUCUCACCGUCGAGGGCGGCAGGAACGACGGAGUCGUGCAUGUGUCGGCUCCUAUGUGGUGCGUGCGGAGCCACUGGCUCACGGAACGACUGCAGGCCUGGAGCACCCCCUACCUCGAGCGGCACGCAUGCAUGGUUGGUGUUCGAGACAUCAGAGGAGCUUCAGCAGGUGUCGUUGAUCCAAAAUUACUCCUUCCAGUACAACGUUCCCCAAUGCAAAGUGUCCCUUUAUUUCCCCUGCCCAGCUCCAAUCUUGAUCCUUCCAUGUUUGAUGUAAUGUGUACAGAGAAACAAGGCCGCCGAGCCAAAUUUGCUGAACCAGGCUGCCAAGUUUGAGGUAAAAAAACUCAGCAGGGAAGUAUCUAUCCUGAAUUUUCUGCACUACAUAAAUUUACCCAUAGAAUAUAUCUCUAAUAGUACCCUGUCCAAAAUGUUAGUGUUAUUUCUGCAAUUUUGCAAGCCGAAUUUGUGCCAAGUGCAUUGCUUAAUAUAUCUCUAAUAGUAUAUGUCCAUUGCUAUUUCCGAGAUCUUCAAUCAAUUUCUAUUACAACAAAAAAAUGAUCCCUAUCAACAUAUAUAGUAUGCACUGGGAAAUCAUGAUUCAUGGGCAGCUGAUAUAUACAAUGGUUGAUAACAAUUACUUUAGGGUCUCCAUUCUACUAUUUUUUUUACAUACUCAACAAAUUUGUGACAUCUUAUCUGGUAGAGAAAACAGUCCGAGAUAUUCUGUUCUUACCUACACAUAAUUCCGUAUUGAUGACUUAGCAUUCAACAUGAUUCAGUUUCUAGCCUGUAUACAUUAGUAUUAUUAUGAGCCGCCUAAAAAGUUUUUGGGCUUUUAGUUUCAGUUAUAGUCAUGGACUGGGCACAAUUCACAGAAUAAGAAAAUGUAUCAAGCAUUAAUUUUAUAUGCGUGAAGCAUUUUACAAUGAAACGUUAUUCAGAUCUCUCUUUCAGAUCUCUCUUACAGAUUUCUCUUACAUGAAAAUUCUAAACAUUAUUCAGUACUGAGGACCAAAUUUAGAAAAUUCUAAACGAGUGGUGAGUUCAAUCAGGUGAAAAAUUGUAGGUCGAACAUGAAAGGAUGCACAUUCGUUUUUGAAGUUGAAAAUAACGUUUCAUGAAGCAAACUUGAGGUAUCAAUCAUGUCUCACUUUUUUUAUUUGUAUAAUUGGUUGACAUAUGAGAUGCCUUAGGUUGUCUCACAGUGAUACUCAUGAUUUUUUGCUGUGCAAAAAAAUACCUACAGUACAAGAAAUUAUAAGAAGUAAAUAGCAUCAAAACGAAACCAUCGUUGCUUUUUUUGGAUGGAAAUAGGUGAGAUCUAUUAAGCAAUAAUAGGGUUAGGAAUGAUGGUUGCUAAUAACUAUACAUUUUUAUGGAUAGUCAUAUACCUGGAUGUCAUCCUUCAAACACGAAUACCUGAAUUCUUAUAGCACAUAAAUGAUAUUGUUUAGUUCUCCUUUCUAGAGUCUCUUUUGCGUCAUGGUAUAUCUGUUAUCAAGAAUGAUGCUCAGAAAAUUCUUCGUUCCAUGCCAAAUGACAUUUGUUUCGACUUGAUAACACCAGGUAACAUGGUGGAUGUCGCAACACACAAUAGUUAAACUGUAGCGACAUAGAUAUAUGAAAGGGCAAAUCAUCUUAGCUAUAGUGUAUGGAAAAAAGAGCAUAGAUUAAUGAUGCUGAGAGCUAGCUCUUGCCGCAUUAUCAUCUAUCUAUAGCUUUCAAGGACCAGUAAUUGUACGAUUGUAUCAUGUGAUUGGUACUACAAAAUUGACAAUCUUUGUGUAUUAAUAUCUUAAUUUCAAGAUGAAUUGGAGAAGGGAGUCUGCUCUACGUUUUCUAAUCUAUCAGUCAAUGUGUAAAUCUGGUAUUGAUGUACAGUUAUUAAGAAAGUUUCCUUUUACAGAUAUUCUGCUAAUGAUAGGAAGCGUGGUUUAAAACUGCUCUGGCUGGAGUUGUAUGCUUUGUGACUGAAGACUAGAGCUUGGUGUCAUGGUGACUUGCAGCCACUCCUGAUGGUCCUACCACCCAGCUUUUACUCUCUCAAAUUUCCUUAUUUUCAUAUUAACACUGCUAUUGGGGUCAAUCUAUGUUGUUUACUGCUCUAAUCAAGCUAUUGCUAGGAUUCCAUGUUUCCUACAUUGUAUUAUGCUGAUCAUUAGUAAUUCAACCUACAUUGUAUUAUACUGGUCAUUAGUGGAAUGUUGAUUCUGUGAUAA
This is a long non-coding RNA of Triticum aestivum (bread wheat), 2520 nucleotides long. RefSeq lists it as uncharacterized. NCBI's taxonomy places the organism in Eukaryota, Viridiplantae, Streptophyta, Magnoliopsida, Poales, Poaceae. The record is from RefSeq and is a predicted model, not a curated record. The transcript has 2 exons.